UGCUUCACCAGUCACGAAUCU
RNAcentral lists this non-coding RNA (21 nucleotides) under Caenorhabditis elegans. The record is from RNAcentral. Lineage: Eukaryota; Metazoa; Nematoda; Chromadorea; Rhabditida; Rhabditidae.